RNAcentral lists this ribosomal RNA (324 nucleotides) under Triticum aestivum (bread wheat). Its description in RNAcentral is "partial small subunit ribosomal RNA". The record is from RNAcentral. Lineage: Eukaryota; Viridiplantae; Streptophyta; Magnoliopsida; Poales; Poaceae.
AUGCACUUGGUAAGUUGCGGACAUACGACGGUCACGAUUAACGGCGAAAUGGGCAAGUUUUUCCGCAACAAAAGGGGCCUCCGACAAGGAGACCCAAGUUUCCCGCUCAUUUUUAACUUUGUUGCGGACGCCUUGUCGGCCAUGCUUUCCAAGGCGAGAGUUGCGAGUCACAUCAAAGGGUCGGUGCCCCACCUCAUUCCCGGUGGGCUGACUCACUUGCAAUACACGGACGAUAUGAUGCUCCUCUUGAGCCAGACGACCAUAGUAUCGCGUCGAUCAAGCUUUUGCUCCUCGCCUUCGAGAUUUUGUCGGCGCUUAAAAUAA